This 437-nucleotide ribosomal RNA is filed under the name uncultured bacterium. Its description in RNAcentral is "partial 16S ribosomal RNA". It matches the Rfam family "Bacterial small subunit ribosomal RNA", at positions 29 to 507 of the family's 1533-position model. The record is from RNAcentral.
AGCGAACGCUGGCGGCAGGCUUAACACAUGCAAGUCGAGCGGGCAUCCUUGUGGUGUCAGCGGCAGACGGGUGAGUAACGCGUGGGAACGUGCCCUUCGGUUCGGAAUAACUCAGGGAAACUUGAGCUAAUACCGGAUACGUGCGAGAGCAGAAAGGUUUAUCUGCCGAAGGAUCGGCCCGCGUCUGAUUAGCUAGUUGGUGAGGUUAUGGCUCACCAAGGCGACGAUCAGUAGCUGGCCUGAGAGGAUGAUCAGCCACACUGGGACUGAGACACGGCCCAGACUCCUACGGGAGGCAGCAGUGGGGAAUAUUGGACAAUGGGGGCAACCCUGAUCCAGCCAUGCCGCGUGAGUGAUGACGGCCUUAGGGUUGUAAAGCUCUUUUCUCCGGGACGAUAAUGACGGUACCGGAGGAAUAAGCCCCGGCUAACUUCGUG